CCCUUAGAUGUUCUGGGCGGCCCGCGCACUACAAUGGCGUGUGCAGCGAGUGCCGAAGUAGAGUUUUCCGAGGUAUUCUUGCAAUGCUCGUUUUGAUGGGGAUAGACCCUUGCAACUGUUGGUUUUGAACGAGGAAUUCCUUGUAAGCAUGGUUUAUCAUCCGACGCUGAAUGCGUCCCUGCCCUUUGUACACACCGCCCGUCGCUCCUACCGAUGAGUCGUCCGGUGAAGUUCGUAGACCUCGUGAUCGCGGAUCACUGGUGGAAGCAAAAUGAACCUCGCGGUUUAGAGGAAGGAGAAGUCGUAACA
Molecule: ribosomal RNA, 309 nt
Filed under: uncultured eukaryote
Lineage: Eukaryota
Description: partial 18S ribosomal RNA
Rfam family: Eukaryotic small subunit ribosomal RNA
Source: RNAcentral